UGGGGAAUAUUGCGCAAUGGACGAAAGUCUGACGCAGCAACGCCGCGUGAGGGAUGAAGUACAUCGAGAUGUAAACCUCUUUCAGCAGGGACGAAGCGAAAGUGACGGUACCUGCAGAAGAAGCGCCGGCUAACUACGUGCCAGCAGCCGCGGUAAUACGUAGGGCGCAAGCGUUGUCCGGAUUUAUUGGGCGUAAAGGGCUCGUAGGCGGUCUGUCGCGUCGGAUGUGAAAACUCGGAGCUUAACUCCGGGCCUGCAUUCGAUACGGGCAGACUAGAGUUCGGUAGGGGAGACUGGAACUCCUGGUGUAGCGGUGGAAUGCGCAGAUAUCAGGAAGAACACCGAUGGCGAAGGCAGGUCUCUGGGCCGAUACUGACGCUGAGGAGCGAAAGCGUGGGGAGCAAACAGG
RNAcentral lists this ribosomal RNA (409 nucleotides) under uncultured bacterium. RNAcentral describes it as "bacterial SSU rRNA". It matches the Rfam family "Bacterial small subunit ribosomal RNA", at positions 355 to 776 of the family's 1533-position model. The record is from RNAcentral.